Molecule: non-coding RNA, 73 nt
Organism: Nematostella vectensis (starlet sea anemone)
Lineage: Eukaryota; Metazoa; Cnidaria; Anthozoa; Actiniaria; Edwardsiidae
Source: Rfam
AGCCCUAUGGCCCAAUGGAUAAGUCGCCUGACUACGGAUCAGGAGAUUCCAGGUUCGAGUCCUGGCAGGGUCG